Molecule: microRNA, 20 nt
Filed under: Corchorus capsularis
Lineage: Eukaryota; Viridiplantae; Streptophyta; Magnoliopsida; Malvales; Malvaceae
Description: sRNA CCACVL1_18552
Source: RNAcentral
GGUUGUUUUUUUUUUUCUUC